UACGGGGGGGGCAAGCGUUGUUCGGAAUUACUGGGCGUAAAGGGCUCGUAGGCGGCCAACUAAGUCAUACGUGAAAUCCCUCGGCUUAACCGGGGAACGACGCAUGAAACUGGCAGCUAGAGUACCAAAGAGGCAGGUGGAAUCCCGGGUGUAGCGGUGGAAUGCGUAGGGAUCCGGAAGAACACCGGUGGCGAAGGCGGCCUGCUGGGCAGUUGCUGACGCUGAGGCGCGACAGCGUGGGGAGCAAACAGG
Molecule: ribosomal RNA, 252 nt
Filed under: uncultured bacterium
Lineage: Bacteria
Description: partial 16S ribosomal RNA
Rfam family: Bacterial small subunit ribosomal RNA
Source: RNAcentral